AGAGUUUGAUCCUGGCUCAGGAUGAACGCUGGCGGCGUGCCUAAUACAUGCAAGUCGAGCGAACGGACGAGAAGCUUGCUUCUCUGAUGUUAGCGGCGGACGGGUGAGUAACACGUGGAUAACCUACCUAUAAGACUGGGAUAACUUCGGGAAACCGGAGCUAAUACCGGAUAAUAUUUUGAACCGCAUGGUUCAAAAGUGAAAGACGGUCUUGCUGUCACUUAUAGAUGGAUCCGCGCUGCAUUAGCUAGUUGGUAAGGUAACGGCUUACCAAGGCAACGAUGCAUAGCCGACCUGAGAGGGUGAUCGGCCACACUGGAACUGAGACACGGUCCAGACUCCUACGGGAGGCAGCAGUAGGGAAUCUUCCGCAAUGGGCGAAAGCCUGACGGAGCAACGCCGCGUGAGUGAUGAAGGUCUUCGGAUCGUAAAACUCUGUUAUUAGGGAAGAACAUAUGUGUAAGUAACUGUGCACAUCUUGACGGUACCUAAUCAGAAAGCCACGGCUAACUACGUGCCAGCAGCCGCGGUAAUACGUAGGUGGCAAGCGUUAUCCGGAAUUAUUGGGCGUAAAGCGCGCGUAGGCGGUUUUUUAAGUCUGAUGUGAAAGCCCACGGCUCAACCGUGGAGGGUCAUUGGAAACUGGAAAACUUGAGUGCAGAAGAGGAAAGUGGAAUUCCAUGUGUAGCGGUGAAAUGCGCAGAGAUAUGGAGGAACACCAGUGGCGAAGGCGACUUUCUGGUCUGUAACUGACGCUGAUGUGCGAAAGCGUGGGGAUCAAACAGGAUUAGAUACCCUGGUAGUCCACGCCGUAAACGAUGAGUGCUAAGUGUUAGGGGGUUUCCGCCCCUUAGUGCUGCAGCUAACGCAUUAAGCACUCCGCCUGGGGAGUACGACCGCAAGGUUGAAACUCAAAGGAAUUGACGGGGACCCGCACAAGCGGUGGAGCAUGUGGUUUAAUUCGAAGCAACGCGAAGAACCUUACCAAAUCUUGACAUCCUUUGACAACUCUAGAGAUAGAGCCUUCCCC
This 1030-nucleotide ribosomal RNA is filed under the name Staphylococcus aureus. RNAcentral's name for it is "bacterial SSU rRNA". It matches the Rfam family "Bacterial small subunit ribosomal RNA", at positions 8 to 1019 of the family's 1533-position model. The record is from RNAcentral. Lineage: Bacteria; Bacillati; Bacillota; Bacilli; Caryophanales; Staphylococcaceae. RNAcentral also lists the same sequence under 3 other names.